This 572-nucleotide long non-coding RNA is filed under the name Cicer arietinum (chickpea). RNAcentral's name for it is "long non-coding RNA (CARI_LNC001089)". Lineage: Eukaryota; Viridiplantae; Streptophyta; Magnoliopsida; Fabales; Fabaceae. The record is from RNAcentral.
UAGCGUAUAAGCUAUAAGUAUGUUUGGCUGUAUCAAACAGAGCCAUAAUUUAUUCUGAAAAGUCAUAUAUGGGACAUCUUUGUGGCUGAUAAUUAGUUAAAACUUUGAUAAAUUUGGCGGUUGAAUGGUGCGGUAUUGAGCAAAAGCUGCUUAAUUGAGAGAAGGGUUUGAUAACAAAAUCAACAGCAUUGUCCAUCCUGUGUGGCUUUUCACUCCACCUCACCUAGAGGUACACCUCACCAACAACAAUGAAAUGUAAAAACCAUAUUGCUCUAGCACCUUUUAUUGCCAGCAUGUAUCACCAACUUUACUUUGUUUUUCAGUAAGAUAAAGAAAAGGCUUAGUUACAAUUAUAGUUUUCUUUUCUUUUUACUUAAUUAUAAUUAGCACCUUUUAUUGCCAGCAUGUAUCACCAACUUUACUUUGUUUUUCAGUAAGAUAAAGAAAAGGCUUAGUUACAAUUAUAGUUUUCUUUUCUUUUUACUUAAUUAUAAUUAGCACCUUUUAUUGCCAGCAUGUAUCACCAACUUUACUUUGUUUUUCAGUAAGAUAAAGAAAAGGCUUAGUUACAA